UCAGACUUCUCCUUGUUUAAGCAGUUGUUCUCAUUUUUGUUAUUCUAGGGUCCCUGGACACUGGGUUCCAGCUGCUUACUCGGAGAAGACUUUGUAUGGAGUCUGGCAAAUCUUUCCAGCUGAGCAGGGAGGAAAAUAUUUCAGCACAGACAUUUGUGACCCUUCAUGAAGCUCCAGAGUUGGAAGCCAGACCGGGACCUAUAGUCCUUGCUCCCACACAUCAGGCCCAGGGCCCGGGUUGGCAGCCCCUGCUGACUUUUUCCUGCUGUUUGGAAAAACACCCCUCCGGUCACCACCUUCCAACUCACAUUGGAUUCAUUUGA
Molecule: long non-coding RNA, 323 nt
Filed under: Bos indicus x Bos taurus (hybrid cattle)
Lineage: Eukaryota; Metazoa; Chordata; Mammalia; Artiodactyla; Bovidae
Description: lncRNA (ENSBIXG00000014699.1)
Source: RNAcentral